GGCCACUUAGCUCAGUUGGUAGAGCGCUUCGUUUACAUCGAAGAUGUCGGGGGUCCGAGUCCCUCAGUGGCUA
Molecule: transfer RNA, 73 nt
Filed under: Candidatus Shapirobacteria bacterium
Lineage: Bacteria; Candidatus Shapironibacteriota
Description: tRNA-Val
Rfam family: tRNA
About the family: Transfer RNA (tRNA) molecules are approximately 80 nucleotides in length. Their secondary structure includes four short double-helical elements and three loops (D, anti-codon, and T loops).
Source: RNAcentral